Molecule: ribosomal RNA, 500 nt
Filed under: uncultured bacterium
Lineage: Bacteria
Description: partial 16S ribosomal RNA
Rfam family: Bacterial small subunit ribosomal RNA
Source: RNAcentral
AUUGAACGCUGGCGGCAUGCCUUACACAUGCAAGUCGAACGGCAGCACGGGAGCAAUCCUGGUGGCGAGUGGCGAACGGGUGAGUAAAGUAUCGGAACGUGCCCAGUCGUGGGGGAUAACGUAGCGAAAGUUACGCUAAUACCGCAUACGAUCUACGGAUGAAAGCGGGGGAUCGCAAGACCUCGCGCGAUUGGAGCGGCUGAUAUCAGAUUAGGUAGUUGGUGGGGUAAAGGCUCACCAAGCCGACGAUCUGUAGCUGGUCUGAGAGGACGACCAGCCACACUGGGACUGAGAAACGACCCAGACUCCUACGGGAGGCAGCAGUGGGGAAUUUUGGACAAUGGGCGCAAGCCUGAUCCAGCCAUGCCGCGUGCAGGAUGAAGGCCUUCGGGUUGUAAACUGCUUUUGUACGGAACGAAAAGGUUUGGCCUAAUAAGCUGGACCCAUGACGGUACCGUAAGAAUAAGCACCGGCUAACUACGUGCCAGCCGCCGCAGUAA